This 359-nucleotide ribosomal RNA is filed under the name uncultured delta proteobacterium. RNAcentral's name for it is "bacterial SSU rRNA". It matches the Rfam family "Bacterial small subunit ribosomal RNA", at positions 1080 to 1438 of the family's 1533-position model. The record is from RNAcentral. Lineage: Bacteria; Deltaproteobacteria.
UUAAGUCCCGCAACGAGCGCAACCCCUAUUGCUAGUUGCCAUCACAUAAUGGUGGGCACUCUAGUGAGACUGCCCGGGUCAACCGGGAGGAAGGUGGGGACGACGUCAAGUCAUCAUGGCCCUUACGUCCAGGGCUACACACGUACUACAAUGGUGGAUACAGAGGGUCGCGAAGCCGCGAGGUCGAGCCAAUCCCAGAAAAUCCAUCCCAGUCCGGAUCGCAGUCUGCAACUCGACUGUGUGAAGUUGGAAUCGCUAGUAAUCCCAGAUCAGCAUGCUGGGGUGAAUACGUUCCCGGGCCUUCUACACACCGCCCGUCACACCACGAAAGCUGGUUCUACCCAAAAUCGACGGACUAA